RNAcentral lists this ribosomal RNA (131 nucleotides) under Vulpes vulpes (red fox). The record is from RNAcentral. Lineage: Eukaryota; Metazoa; Chordata; Mammalia; Carnivora; Canidae.
GUCUACGGCCAUACCACCCUGAACGCGCCCGAUCUCGUGUGAUCUCGGAAGCUAAGCAGGGUCGGGCCUGGUUAGUACUUGGAUGGGAGAGGAGAUGAUGUCUGGAUUGAGAUCUGCAGGAAGAGUAGGAA